GAUGAACGCUGGCGGCGUGCCUAAUACAUGCAAGUCGAGCGAACAGACGAGGAGCUUGCUCCUCUGACGUUAGCGGCGGACGGGUGAGUAACACGUGGAUAACCUACCUAUAAGACUGGGAUAACUUCGGGAAACCGGAGCUAAUACCGGAUAAUAUAUUGAACCGCAUGGUUCAAUAGUGAAAGACGGUUUUGCUGUCACUUAUAGAUGGAUCCGCGCCGCAUUAGCUAGUUGGUAAGGUAACGGCUUACCAAGGCAACGAUGCGUAGCCGACCUGAGAGGGUGAUCGGCCACACUGGAACUGAGACACGGUCCAGACUCCUACGGGAGGCAGAAGUAGGGAAUUUUCCGCAAUGGGCGAAAGCUUGACGGAGCAACGCCGCGUGAGUGAUGAAGGUCUUCGGAUCGUAAAACUCUGUUAUUAGGGAAGAACAAAUGUGUAAGUAACUAUGCACGUCUUGACGGUACCUAAUCAGAAAGCCACGGCUAACUACGUG
This 497-nucleotide ribosomal RNA is filed under the name uncultured bacterium. Its description in RNAcentral is "partial 16S ribosomal RNA". It matches the Rfam family "Bacterial small subunit ribosomal RNA", at positions 28 to 507 of the family's 1533-position model. The record is from RNAcentral.